CUCUACGGCCAUACCACCCUGAAUGUGCGCGAUGUCGUCUGUUCUUGGAAGCUAAGCAGGGUCGGCCUGGUUAGGACUUGCAUGGCAGACCACCUGGGAAUACCAGGUGCUGUAGGGU
Molecule: ribosomal RNA, 118 nt
Organism: Rhinopithecus bieti (black snub-nosed monkey)
Lineage: Eukaryota; Metazoa; Chordata; Mammalia; Primates; Cercopithecidae
Source: Ensembl